UGUGAAAAAAAAUUAAAAUCUUUCCAGAAGGAGAAAAUCAGUCGGUACGGCAUAAUAUUAUCAUUGAAAUGGAGCAGAGGAACAUGGCUGAUGCGUGUAAGUACGCUGCGGAUAUUGUUUGUAUCAUCAUAUCGACAUUGUUGUUUUAUAACGGACAAAGUCGCAUGCAUAUGUCUUUUCCUGCAAAUUUCUCGGAACCUGGGACCGCUCCCAGCUAUAGCAACCACUUGGAACCGAUAGAGCUCCGCGCCUUCUAUGUAACGGAAGUGGAACAUACCACUAGAAGUCUUCAAAUAUUCUGAAAUCAGAAAAGUAUUUGAAAUUUAAGCUUGCGAGAAAAAAAAUAAACAUUAAAUAAUUUAUUAUUUUGCCAAAAACAGACUUUUGAAUCAUUUGCGAUAAUAAUAAUAAUAAUAUUAAAAACAUGGAAAAUGAACAACUAAAACAUUAAAUUUCAAAGCUUUUUCUGUUUAAA
Armigeres subalbatus is the source of this 475-nucleotide long non-coding RNA. RefSeq lists it as uncharacterized. The transcript has 3 exons. NCBI's taxonomy places the organism in Eukaryota, Metazoa, Arthropoda, Insecta, Diptera, Culicidae. The record is from RefSeq and is a predicted model, not a curated record.